UACGUAGGGACCAAGCGUUGUCCGGAAUCAUUGGGCGUAAAGCGCGCGUAGGUGGCUUCAUAAGUCCGUUGUGAAAGUCAAAGGCUCAACCUUUGAAAGCCGAUGGAUACUGUGGAGCUAGAGUACGGAAGAGGCGAGUGGAAUUCCUGGUGUAGCGGUGGAAUGCGCAGAUAUCAGGAGGAACACCAAUAGCGAAGGCAGCUCGCUGGGACGUUUACUGACACUAAGGCGCGAAAAGCGUGGGGGAGCGAACAGG
Molecule: ribosomal RNA, 256 nt
Filed under: uncultured bacterium
Lineage: Bacteria
Description: partial 16S ribosomal RNA
Rfam family: Bacterial small subunit ribosomal RNA
Source: RNAcentral